This 253-nucleotide ribosomal RNA is filed under the name uncultured bacterium. Its description in RNAcentral is "partial 16S ribosomal RNA". It matches the Rfam family "Bacterial small subunit ribosomal RNA", at positions 524 to 776 of the family's 1533-position model. The record is from RNAcentral.
UACGUAGGGCGCAAGCGUUGUCCGGAAUUAUUGGGCGUAAAGAGCUCGUAGGCGGCUUGUCACGUCGGGUGUGAAAGCCCGGGGCUUAACCCCGGGUCUGCAUUCGAUACGGGCAGGCUAGAGUGUGGUAGGGGAGAUCGGAAUUCCUGGUGUAGCGGUGAAAUGCGCAGAUAUCAGGAGGAACACCGGUGGCGAAGGCGGGUCUCUGGGCCGACACUGACGCUGAGGAGCGAAAGCGUGGGGAGCGAACAGG